AGACUAAUGACCGAAGCUUCAAGACUUUGACAUGUGUGAAAACAUGAAAUGACCCUUGGCUCUUAUUGUUCUUGCUGGUGUGGUAUGUUCACGGCUGAAAAGAUGGUCAGAAGGGGAAAGGAGGAAGUGAGAAGAAAGAAACAGGGAAAUGACAGAGUGUUGCUCAGUUACCCAGGCUGGAGUGCAAUGGCAUGAUCUUGGCUCACUGCAGCCUCCACCUCCUGGGUUCAAGCGGUUCUCGUGCCUCAGUCUCCCAAGUAGCUGGGAUUACAGCAGGCUGAGGAAUUACCAAGGAGGCAGGAGGUGGAGCAAAACACACCAAGCCUGGUGCCAAUCAUUGACAAUAUUAUGGAACUGACUCAGCGCAAGAAGACAGCUUCGACUCCUUGUGAUUUCAUCCCUAACCAAUCAGCACUCCUGGCUCACUGGCUUCCCCCAACCCACCAAAUUGUCCUUAAAAACUCUGCUCUCCAAACGCUGGGGGAGACUGAUUUGAGUAAUAAUAAAACCCUGGUCUCCUGCA
RNAcentral lists this long non-coding RNA (523 nucleotides) under Homo sapiens (human). RNAcentral describes it as "non-protein coding PCED1B-AS1:5". Lineage: Eukaryota; Metazoa; Chordata; Mammalia; Primates; Hominidae. The record is from RNAcentral.